GGCUCAGGAUGAACGCUAGCGGCAGGCUUAAUACAUGCAAGUCGUGGGGCAGCAUGAGUAGCAAUACUUGAUGGCGACCGGCAAACGGGUGAGGAACACGUACACAACCUUCCUUCAAGCGGGGAAUAGCCCAGAGAAAUUUGUAUUAAUACCCCAUAAUAUAUUUGAUAAGGCAUCUUAUUAAUAUUAAAGCUUCGGCACUUGAUGAUGGGUGUGCGGCUGAUUAGAUAGUUGGCGGGGUAACGGCCCACCAAGUCUACGAUCAGUAGCUGAUGUGAGAGCAUGAUCAGCCACACGGGCACUGAGACACGGGCCCGACUCCUACGGGAGGCAGCAGUAAGGAAUAUUGGACAAUGGACGAAAGUCUGAUCCAGCCAUGCCCGCGUGAAGGAUUAAGGUCCUCUGGAUUGUAAACUUCUUUUAUAUGGGACGAAAAAAGGGCAUUCUUGUUCACUUGACGGUACCAUAUGAAUAAGCACCGGCUAACUCCGUG
Molecule: ribosomal RNA, 493 nt
Filed under: uncultured bacterium
Lineage: Bacteria
Description: bacterial SSU rRNA
Rfam family: Bacterial small subunit ribosomal RNA
Source: RNAcentral